This is a non-coding RNA of Shewanella benthica KT99, 81 nucleotides long. The record is from Rfam. NCBI's taxonomy places the organism in Bacteria, Pseudomonadati, Pseudomonadota, Gammaproteobacteria, Alteromonadales, Shewanellaceae.
UUUGGCAUUGGGAUUAUUCUUGAUGAUAGCAUUGCCCACUGCGUGUAACAGGUGAGUCUUACCUAAACCGGUACCACCAUA